CCUCACUCUGAUAGACAGCGAUUUCCUCCAGCCUUUCCCUCUCAUCACUGCUGCAACAUUGAUGCUUCUAUUCAAUCUGUUUCCUAAAGGAGCCAUGCAAUCAUUUGUUCCCAGAUUGUAUUUGACACCAGUCAGAGUUGACGAAGCAGAGUCUCAAAGAAAGGCAAAGUCACGUCAUGCUCGACAAACCCGGAGGUGCACACAGGGUGUGACCCUUGGUGACCUGAGGGAAGCCCUGAAGAUCAAUCAUCUCUCUCCUCAGGAGGAGCGAGGAGGUCCCAAACACAGCUUUACAGACGACAGAAGAGAAAAGAACAGCUUGACAGAGUUCACGGAAGAUAGUGAGAUCAAUUCAAAGAGGAGUGACAAAGACAAGGAGGGUAACACUGUGUCAAGGAGAGAGACUUUGACUGAGUCUCCAAACCUGCCAUUUCAUUCUCUGCUUGGAUCUAACAGCACCAUCAGAGGUAGGAAGAACACUGAAGAUCUUUAUAAACCUUCAAAAGAUUACAUAGACUAUUUUUAUAUCUCUAUUAAAUCCAAUAACAAUAUGU
This 554-nucleotide long non-coding RNA is filed under the name Gouania willdenowi (blunt-snouted clingfish). RNAcentral's name for it is "lncRNA (ENSGWIG00000026011.1)". Lineage: Eukaryota; Metazoa; Chordata; Actinopteri; Blenniiformes; Gobiesocidae. The record is from RNAcentral.